CCUACGGUGUGCUGCAGUGAGGAAUAUUGGUCAAUGGGCGGGAGCCUGAACCAGCCAAGUCGCGUGAGGGAAGACGGUCCUAUGGAUUGUAAACCUCUUUAGGCGGGGAGCAAUGCCGGGCACGUGUGCCCGGAGGGAGAGUACCCGCAGAAUAAGCAUCGGCUAACUCCGGGCCAGCAGCCGCGGUCAUACGGAGGAUGCGAGGGUUAUCAGGAUUUAUUGGGUUAAAAGGGUGCGUAGGCGGAUUUUUAAGUCAUGGGUAAAAUGUCCGGGCUCAACCCGGGCCGGCCGUUGAAACUGGGGAUCUUGAGUGGGCGAGAAGUAUGCGGAAUGCGUGGGGUCGCGGUGAAAUGCAUAGAUAUCACGCAGAACUCCGAUUGCGAAGGCAGCAUACCGGCGCCCGACUGACGCUGAGGCACGAAAGCGUGGGGAUCGAACAGGAGUAGAUACCCUUGUAGUC
This 460-nucleotide ribosomal RNA is filed under the name uncultured bacterium. RNAcentral describes it as "partial 16S ribosomal RNA". It matches the Rfam family "Bacterial small subunit ribosomal RNA", at positions 338 to 795 of the family's 1533-position model. The record is from RNAcentral.